UUCUCCUUAAACCUCACCAUAGUUUCCAAACUCAUACAUAUAUACCGUCUAAUCUUCCAUUGUUAACCGAAACACUAGCAAACCUUAAACCUAAGUAGCCUCCACCAUUGUCACAUGACACCGACCAUUCCUGACCAAUUCUAUUAUUGUUCGGUUUAAGAAUCACUAUCUUGAUUCUUGAUUCGCAAUGGAUAAAUGCUUUUAAAUUUGAAGUUGCUUUACCAUGGACAGUGCCCUUUUUCCAGGGAUCAAUGGCUAUAAAACUUCAAAAAUUCCAGAGGCUUCGGUAUCAAUGAUAGCUGGAGUCGAUUGGCAGAUAUUUCUUCUUUCACAUCCCAGGUGAUGUACUUUUAACUGUUGGGGCCAAAGCAGAAGAUUGGUUUGUGCUUGGAUUGGGAUUCUUUCUUGGCGUACAAAGAAUCAGUGAUUAGAGUUAAAUCUUGGUUUUAAGGCUUCAGAAUGAGUAGUAAAAAUAGAUGUCAUAUUCUAGAAGAAGACAUCUAUAAAUUGUAAUGGUGAUUAGCUCUCGAUACAUGACUCUUCUAAGCAAGACAAUAUCAAU
Lactuca sativa (garden lettuce) is the source of this 562-nucleotide long non-coding RNA. RefSeq lists it as uncharacterized. Lineage: Eukaryota; Viridiplantae; Streptophyta; Magnoliopsida; Asterales; Asteraceae. The record is from RefSeq and is a predicted model, not a curated record.